Molecule: ribosomal RNA, 423 nt
Filed under: uncultured bacterium
Lineage: Bacteria
Description: bacterial SSU rRNA
Rfam family: Bacterial small subunit ribosomal RNA
Source: RNAcentral
UGAGGAAUAUUGGUCAAUGGGCGCAAGCCUGAACCAGCCAUCCCGCGUGAAGGAAGAAUGCGCUACGCGUUGUAAACUUCUUUUCCAGGGGGAGAAUUUUCCUGUCGAGACAGGGAUUGACGGUACCCUGGGAAUAAGCAUCGGCUAACUCCGUGCCAGUAGCCGCGGUAAUACGGAGGAUGCGGGCGUUAUCCGGAUUUAUUGGGUUUAAAGGGUGCGUAGGCGGAUUGAUAAGCCAGUGGUGAAAUUCUGCAGCUUAACUGUAGACUUGCCGUUGAUACUGUUAGUCUUGAGUGUGGUCAAGGCAGGCGGAAUGUGUAAUGUAGCGGUGAAAUGCUUAGAUAUUACACAGAACACCGAUUGCGAAGGCAGCUUGCUGGGUCAUUACUGACGCUGAUGCACGAAAGCGUGGGGAUCAAACAG